UUUCAGGUUCAUGUUUAGAUAUGGUUUUGAAGGAAUAUGAACUAGAACAUUUAGAUUGCAUUGACAUAUGUGUGCCCUCGUGUUCUGAAAUAGUAUUUACAACAGAUAUUUCAACUGGUACAUGGCCCUCUAAACCCCUCAUUACGAGAACUGUUAAUAAAGUGAAAAACGUGUAUAAAAAGAAGAACAUAACUACGGACAUAUUUGACGAAUUGGAGGACACUGGAGAUAUGUUGAAGUUCCUUCGGAGAAAUGUGUUGAAAGUAGAGAUGUUUUAUAAGCAGUUGAACUAUGAACGUAUAACAGCAACACCAGCAUAUGAUUGGAGCAGCUUACUAUCAGACUUGGGUGGACAGGCUGGACUGUGGGUUGGUUUCUCCAU
Long non-coding RNA from Patella vulgata (common limpet), 382 nucleotides. RefSeq lists it as uncharacterized. The transcript has 4 exons. NCBI's taxonomy places the organism in Eukaryota, Metazoa, Mollusca, Gastropoda, Patellidae. The record is from RefSeq and is a predicted model, not a curated record.